UACGUAGGGGGCUAGCGUUGUCCGGAUUUAUUGGGCGUAAAGCGCGUGUAGGCGGCCAGGUAGGUCCGCUGUGAAAACUCGAGGCUCAACCUCGAGAUGUCGGCGGAAACCAUCUGGCUAGAGUCCGGAAGAGGAGAAUGGAAUUCCCGGUGUAGCGGUGAACUGCGCAGAUAUCGGGAAGAACACCCGUGGCGAAGGCGGUUCUCUGGGACGGUACUGACGCUGAGACGCGAAAGCGUGGGGAGCGAACAGG
RNAcentral lists this ribosomal RNA (253 nucleotides) under uncultured bacterium. Its description in RNAcentral is "partial 16S ribosomal RNA". It matches the Rfam family "Bacterial small subunit ribosomal RNA", at positions 524 to 776 of the family's 1533-position model. The record is from RNAcentral.